GACAGAGGGUGCAAACGUUGUUCGGAAUUACUGGGCGUAAAGCGCGUGUAGGCGGCCCUGCAAGUCGGAUGUGAAAUCCCACGGCUCAACCGUGGAAGUGCAUUCGAAACUGCAGGGCUAGAGUCCUGGAGAGGAAGGUGGAAUGCUUGGUGUAGAGGUGAAAUUCGUAGAUAUCAAGCGGAACACCGGUGGCGAAGGCGGCCUUCUGGACGAUGACUGACGCUGAGGCGCGAAAGCGUGGGGAGCAAACAGG
This 253-nucleotide ribosomal RNA is filed under the name uncultured bacterium. Its description in RNAcentral is "partial 16S ribosomal RNA". It matches the Rfam family "Bacterial small subunit ribosomal RNA", at positions 524 to 776 of the family's 1533-position model. The record is from RNAcentral.